This 693-nucleotide ribosomal RNA is filed under the name Triticum aestivum (bread wheat). Its description in RNAcentral is "partial small subunit ribosomal RNA". The record is from RNAcentral. Lineage: Eukaryota; Viridiplantae; Streptophyta; Magnoliopsida; Poales; Poaceae.
AUGGAGCUUUGCAGAGCAUCACCGGAGCAUCAUCGAGGCCGCCGGAACACCAUCAUUGCUGCAAUGAAGCAUCUCCGAGCAGUCAGAGCAUCGUCGCUGCUACAACAAAGCAUCAGCGGUGUUGUGUUGGAGCAUUGCCGGGCCGUCGGAGUAUCGUCGGUGUUGCAACGAAGCAGCACUGGUGUUGUGUUCGAGCAUUGCUUGGCCGUCGGAGCAUCGCCGGUGCUGCAACAAAGCAUCACCGUUGUUGUGUUGGAGCAUUGCCGGGCCGCCGGAGCAUCGCAGGUUCUGCAACGAAGCAUCACCGGUGUUGUGUUGGAGCAUUGCUGGGCCGACGGAGCAUCGCUGGUGCUGCAACGAAGCAUCACCGGUGUUAUGUUGGAGCAUUGCCGAGCCGCCGGAGCAUCGCCGGUGCUGCAACGAAGCAUCACCGGUGUUGUGUUCCAGCAUUGCCGGCCGCUGGAGCAUCGCCGGUACUGCAACGAAGCAUCACCGGUAUUGUGUUGGAGCAUUGUCGGGCUGCCGGAACAUCGCCGGUGCUUCAAUGGAUGGUUGCAGCAGCGUCGUUGUCGCAACCUGGCGCUGCACCUGUGGCCGUGCAUGGCGACCUCGUGGGCGGUUUCCCGUGAGAUGACCUGUGAGUCUGUGACGGGGCUGCCGCAACCUGGAGAAACGAGGAUGCUGUGCAGAUAG